Acanthosepion pharaonis is the source of this 109-nucleotide non-coding RNA. The record is from the annotation of a GenBank genome assembly. Lineage: Eukaryota; Metazoa; Mollusca; Cephalopoda; Sepiida; Sepiidae.
UGGCUAUAUCGCGUUGAAACACCAAUUCUUGUACGAUCACCGAAGUUAAGCAACAUAGAGACUGGUCAGUAACUAGAUGGAUGACCGUUUGGGAAUCCCAGUUGAUGUA